Molecule: long non-coding RNA, 594 nt
Filed under: Amborella trichopoda
Lineage: Eukaryota; Viridiplantae; Streptophyta; Magnoliopsida; Amborellales; Amborellaceae
Description: long non-coding RNA (ATRI_LNC001200)
Source: RNAcentral
GGGCUAGGAGUUAGGCUAGGGUGUGGAGAGGAAGCAUGGUGUAUAUGGGUUGUGUGGCCUAGGACAUGAAUAAGGCAUAUGGACAACACAAGGUCGCACUUCAUGGACUAUUUUUCACUCUCGCUCUUGGGCUGGGCAUGCCACUAACUAAGGCCCCUCUCAUUCUAAAUCUUAGCACCAUAACAUUGCAUGAGCGACUUGUAAAAUGAAGAGGGUGAGCAGCCUUUUUAUAAAGAGGAAUUAGCGUUUAGGAGAGUGUAAAAGGUUCUCUUAGGAGAUGCAUUGUGAAAUCUCCUGUUAGGAAAUCUAUAAGGUGACAGAUGCUUCAAAACCAUUUAUCCUUAUCUAACUACCAUAGAUUACGGGAUGAUAUGUGAUCACCAAUAAAGCUCUUAAUUUCUCUUUAAUAUAUCAAAUCUUGGUUAAUUAAAUUUUAUCUUCGUUAAAUUGUUGACGAAGGCUACCCAAAUAAAAAUAAUCCAAGUUAGGAGAGAGAGACAAUUGAAUAGGCUAAUUGUCAGGCAUACAUGUAUAUAUGUGAAUUCUUCUCUUUUCCUCACUAUCUCACAUGCUAUAAACAAAAGGAGUGGCUUG